UACGUAGGGGGCAAGCGUUAUCCGGAUUCACUGGGUGUAAAGGGAGCGUAGACGGCGACGCAAGUCUGGAGUGAAAGCCCGGGGCCCAACCCCGGGACUGCUCUGGAAACUGCGUCGCUGGAGUGCGGGAGGGGCAGGCGGAAUUCCUGGUGUAGCGGUGAAAUGCGUAGAUAUCAGGAGGAACACCGGCGGCGAAGGCGGCCUGCUGGACCGUGACUGACGUUGAGGCUCGAGAGCGUGGGGAGCAAACAGG
RNAcentral lists this ribosomal RNA (253 nucleotides) under uncultured bacterium. Its description in RNAcentral is "partial 16S ribosomal RNA". It matches the Rfam family "Bacterial small subunit ribosomal RNA", at positions 524 to 776 of the family's 1533-position model. The record is from RNAcentral.